This 660-nucleotide ribosomal RNA is filed under the name uncultured bacterium. RNAcentral's name for it is "bacterial SSU rRNA". It matches the Rfam family "Bacterial small subunit ribosomal RNA", at positions 37 to 699 of the family's 1533-position model. The record is from RNAcentral.
UAGCUGCGCAGCCUACACUGCAGUCGUAGCGGGUAACGCGCAAUACGCUGACGACCGGCAAACGGGUGCGGAACACGUACACAACCUUCCUUUUAGUGGGGAAUAGCCCAGAGAAAUUUGGAUUAAUACCCCGUAACAUAAUGGUGUGGCAUCACAUUGUUAUUAUAGGUUUACCGCUAAGAGAUGGGUGUGCGGCUGAUUAGGUAGUUGGCGGAGUAACAGCCCACCAAGCCAACGAUCAGUAGCUGAUGUGAGAGCAUGAUCAGCCACACGGGCACUGAGACACGGGCCCGACUCCUACGGGAGGCAGCAGUAAGGAAUAUUGGACAAUGGACGCAAGUCUGAUCCAGCCAUGCCGCGUGAAGGAUUAAGGCCCUCUGGGUUGUAAACUUCUUUUAUAGGGGACGAAAAAAGGGCUUUCUAGCUCGACUGACGGUACCCUAUGAAUAAGCACCGGCUAACUCCGUGCCAGCAGCCGCGGUAAUCCGGAGGGUGCAAGCGUUAUCCGGAUUCACUGGGUUUAAAGGGUGCGUAGGCGGGCAGUUAAGUCAGUGGUGAAAUCUUCGAGCUCAACUCGGAAACUGCCAUUGAUACUAUCUGUCUUGAAUAUUGUGGAGGUGAGCGGAAUAUGUCAUGUAGCGGUGAAAUGCUUAGAUAUGA